Molecule: long non-coding RNA, 215 nt
Filed under: Lathyrus oleraceus (garden pea)
Lineage: Eukaryota; Viridiplantae; Streptophyta; Magnoliopsida; Fabales; Fabaceae
Description: Pisum sativum (pea) long non-coding RNA (PSAT_LNC041579)
Source: RNAcentral
UCGAUGCCGGAUUAUUAUUUGUCUCGAUGAUGCCAGGAUCAAAAGACAGAAGCUUCCUCGUAUGGGUAGACGUUGCAUUCAUGCAUAUUAACCUGUUUGCUGUUUUGCAGGAAUCAUUGCUCGUGCUCGCAGAGCUGUACCUUUGCACUCAACACGCCCUCACAGAUAUUACACCAGGCGCAAUACUCCCGGACUAAUGAAUCCGUCCAACACCG